RNAcentral lists this non-coding RNA (35 nucleotides) under Prorocentrum micans. The record is from RNAcentral. Lineage: Eukaryota; Dinophyceae; Prorocentrales; Prorocentraceae.
UACAGUUUUUUUUUUUUUUUUUUUUUUUUUUUUUC